GGGCAAGCAUAACUGCGAGUCGAGCGAGCUUGCCUAGAUGAUUUUAGUGCUUGCACUAAAUGAAACUAGAUACAAGCGAGCGGCGGACGGGUGAGUAACACGUGGGUAACCUGCCCAAGAGACUGGGAUAACACCUGGAAACAGAUGCUAAUACCGGAUAACAACACUAGACGCAUGUCUAGAGUUUGAAAGAUGGUUCUGCUAUCACUCUUGGAUGGACCUGCGGUGCAUUAGCUAGUUGGUAAGGUAACGGCUUACCAAGGCAAUGAUGCAUAGCCGAGUUGAGAGACUGAUCGGCCACAUUGGGACUGAGACACGGCCCAAACUCCUACGGGAGGCAGCAGUAGGGAAUCUUCCACAAUGGACGAAAGUCUGAUGGAGCAACGCCGCGUGAGUGAAGAAGGGUUUCGGCUCGUAAAGCUCUGUUGGUAGUGAAGAAAGAUAGAGGUAGUAACUGGCCUUUAUUUGACGGUAAUUACUUAGAAAGUCACGGCUAACUACGUGCCAGCAGCCGCGGUAAUACGUAGGUGGCAAGCGUUGUCUGGAUUUAUUGGGCGUAAAGCGAGUGCAGGCGGUUCAAUAAGUCUGAUGUGAAAGCCUUCGGCUCAACCGGAGAAUUGCAUCAGAAACUGUUGAACUUGAGUGCAGAAGAGGAGAGUGGAACUCCAUGUGUAGCGGUGGAAUGCGUAGAUAUAUGGAAGAACACCAGUGGCGAAGGCGGCUCUCUGGUCUGCAACUGACGCUGAGGCUCGAAAGCAUGGGUAGCGAACAGGAUUAGAUACCCUGGUAGUCCAUGCCGU
RNAcentral lists this ribosomal RNA (800 nucleotides) under uncultured bacterium. Its description in RNAcentral is "bacterial SSU rRNA". It matches the Rfam family "Bacterial small subunit ribosomal RNA", at positions 44 to 803 of the family's 1533-position model. The record is from RNAcentral.